Molecule: long non-coding RNA, 154 nt
Organism: Amblyraja radiata (thorny skate)
Lineage: Eukaryota; Metazoa; Chordata; Chondrichthyes; Rajiformes; Rajidae
Exons: 3
Source: RefSeq, a predicted model, not a curated record
AGGAUUUGAGUAUAGGAGCAGGGAGGUUCUACUGCAGUUGUACAGAGCGCUAGUGAGGCCACGCCUGGAGUAUUGUGUGUAGUUUUGGUCCCCUAAUUUGAGGAAGGACAUUCUUUCUAUUGAGGGAGUGCAGCGUAGGUUUACAAGGUUAAUU